This 5404-nucleotide long non-coding RNA is filed under the name Volvox carteri. RNAcentral's name for it is "long non-coding RNA (VCAR_LNC003997)". Lineage: Eukaryota; Viridiplantae; Chlorophyta; Chlorophyceae; Chlamydomonadales; Volvocaceae. The record is from RNAcentral.
UCGUUACAUUGCCCCCCACUUAGCAAUGGACGUCCUCGGCCAUUAUUUCGAGCACAGGAGCCAUCCCACCUCGCGCCAGUGCGCUGGUUUAUCCAUUACACCAUGAAAUCGCCAAUUUGCGACUUGCUGGUUGCCAGAAUCGAACCGCCGACCCGAAGUUUGUUACGGAAGUCGUGCAGUCCCGUCUCGAUACCAUUGUAACACAGCAAAGGCGUAACCCGGGAUGCUCAGAUUGGCAUUUGCGUCGUUACACUUAUAAAGGCUUGGAAAGCCUAUCCCAAAGGACGAGAGCUAUCAGUACGCUAGAACCUAACAGCCGUUUUGACGGGCCUCCCGAGACAGGUCCAAAGCUGUCACUCAGUCUAACAUGCGACCUCAGACAGGCCACAGCUGUCACUCACGACAGCCUGACAAGUUACCCAAACAGGCCACAGGGCGACACGGCAACCCUUCGCAUCAACACGCCCCCUCGUGUCGCACUAGGGGCCUUACUACAAAUUGCUAGCACCGACGAGCUAGCUCGGCCACCAAGUCCGCGGUCCAGGCCGACUGCUCACCACUCAACAAACACAAACGCAGCUCGCCAGCCUUCAGCCUGAUGGCUAUGCGGUCUGGUGCUGCUGCACAAACACACAGAGAAAACAGUGCCGUACAGCACCAUACGCACUGCCUACGGCGCCCCUUCGGGCAUUAACCUGCCCAUUCGGGCGCCUGCUCACGCACCCUCAGCACCCCCCUAAAGCCUAGCUCAAAACAAUUCCUCAAAGCCCUCAGCACUCCUCCUCUGGCGGUCUAAGUGACGCCCAGCGCUGUGCGGCAGCGCACGAACUUGACCUCGCCCAGUGCCUUGGUUAGGAUGUCAGCCACCAUUUCGUCGGUGGUGCAAUAGCUGAGCUUCACCUCACCACGCGCGACCCUCUCGCGCACGAUGUGGUGGUGCACGUCGAUGUGCUUGGAGCGCACUGACGUGCUUGGAGCGCACUGACGUGAUGGGGUUGUUGCCGAGGCUGAGCGUGUUUAUCCAAAAUCACACACUGCGAAGCAACCGGUGAUGGCUGCUUUGGCGGCCGUGACCAAUUGCAAGUUGUCCGCCGCCACCAGCAUGUCGUCAACGUGCACAAGCACAUAAAUUGAGCCGUCGGACCCGCGCUUCACGAAUAGCGCGGGGUCGGACAUAGACGGUCCAUAGCCCAGCUUGCCCAACACCGCCGCCAGUUUCUCGUACCAGCAGCGUGGGGCUUGCUUGAUGUCGUAGACGGACUUUGACAUCCGCCACGUUUUGACGUCCAUCUGAUGGACCGUCAUACCCCUGGCCGCUGCCACAGCCAGAAGUGCCCGCAGGGAGGUUGCACUGUUGCCUCCGCCGUUAGUACUGCUGUCAGGUACGUUAAACUCAGCGUGAUCGCUGCUACCCGACGCUUUAUUAAGCAGCGGUGGACUACCCAAAUCUCCGCCGCCGCCGCUGCUGUUGUUGGCUGGGCAGACCGUGGCCAGCGGCGGGUGAAGAGGUUGCCGUUGGCUGCGUGUGUUGGGGCGGGGGGGGGGCGCUGGGUUCACUGGGGGCGAUGCAACCACUGGAGGCGGCGGUGUGGCGGGCUGUGUAGAGCCGCCGACGGGGUCGCCGCUGCCAGGACGGGCGGGGCCAGCGCCGAAGGAGGUGCCCGCCCGUUGAGACGCCAGGCCGCGGAGGUCGUCGUCGAAGGUGACGUCGCUGCUAACAGUCACCUUACCGUCAACGAGGACGCGGUGGGCGGCCGUGCCGCGCUCCGGUCCUAGGUAGGUUCCCGCCUUGUCCGUGCCGAACGUGACUGAGCAGCCGCGUGUCACGAGAAGGUCGACAGACAUGAGCGUUAGUCCCGAGCUGGGGACAUGGAGCACGUUGCGUAGCCAGAUGGAUUCUCCAUCGCGCGUCCGUAGGAGCAGCUGCCCUGUUCCCAUGACGUCGGCUAGCUGGUUGUUCCCCCACUUGAUUUGCUUGGGCGCGCCGGCAGGAACGUAAUUAUGUAACAGUGAGCGGUCACAUGUAAGGUGGUAAGGCGAACCAGNNNNNNNNNNNNNNNNNNNNNNNNNNNNNNNNNNNNNNNNNNNNNNNNNNNNNNNNNNNNNNNNNNNNNNNNNNNNNNNNNNNNNNNNNNNNNNNNNNNNNNNNNNNNNNNNNNNNNNNNAGUUGCCCACGGCGUGGCCUCCCGGCCCUGAGAGGGGGAAACAUUGCGCAGGAGGUUGGCGUAUAGCACAGCUUCCGACCAAAAGCUGUCCGGGAGCGCGGCAUCGUACAGCAUAGCCCGCACCCGGUCGAGGAGCGUGCGAUUGAGCCGCUCCGCUGCGCCGUUCUGCUCCGGAGUGUACGGCGCCGAGUGGGUAUGCGCAGUGCCGCGUUGGCGUAGCCACUGUGCCAGCUGCUCGGCGACAAACUCGCCACCGUUAUCACUAUGAAGGGUGCGGACCCGUGCACCGUUCGGGUUGCGAGCCUCCAGCUGCGUCACCAUGUCCUGCAGCGCUUCGCCCACUUGGUUCUUGCUAACCAGUGUGCGAACGGCAGACAGACCGGAGGCACCGUCUAGCAGCGUUAGCAAGUAGCGAGCCCCUCCUCGGCCCGUGGUCGGCAUGGGCCCGCACAGGUCAGAGUGUACGACCUCCAGGACAUGCUGAGGCCGGUUACCGCGGCUGACGUGAGCUGUAGCUGUAGUCUUCGCUGUGACACAGGCUUCGCAGACACCCUCUGCCGCCUGAUGCAGCGCCGCGGGAGUGACCCGUGGUCCAUGUACCAGCUGCUUGGUGAUAAGCUGCUCCAACGCCCGGUAACCAAGGUGGCCGAACUGGCGGUGCAGGCGCUGCGCUGCUGCGAGUUCGGCGGCUGAGCACUCAAGGGCGCCCAGCUGCCCUUGGCCGUUGCUGGCGCCGUUCGACUGGUCUCCGCCGGUGUCACUGCUGUCGGCGCCGUUCGGCUGGUCCCCGCCGGCGUCCCUGCUGCUGGCGCCGGCGGCAAAUCUGCUAGCGCUGGUACCUCCGCCGGCUCUGUCUUCCGCAGCGCCGAGCGCACUGACGGCGCGUUUGGUCGGCGCCAGCAGGUCCACGUCCAUGACGUAAUGCCCACGCUCACUCCACGCGGUGAUAGACGAACCGCCGUGCGGCAGACCUACUCGCGAGAACCGGCGGCCCGCCUUGUCCGUGCCGAACGUGACUGAGCAGCCGCGUGUCACGAGAAGGUCGACAGACAUGAGCGUUAGUCCCGAGCUGGGGACAUGGAGCACGUUGCGUAGCAAGACGGUUUCUCCAUCGCGUGUCCGUAGGAGUAGCUGCCCUGUUCCCAUGACGUCGGCUAGCUGGUUGUUCCCCCACUUAAUUUGCUUGGGCGAGCCGGCAGGAACGUAACUGUGCAACAGUGAGCGGUCACCUGUAAGGUGGUAAGGUGAACCAGAGUCUAGGACUACUGCUGAACUGUUGCCACUGUCACCGACGACCAGCACCGUGGCACGGUUCUGGCGUGAGCUUACACCGCCGCCGCCGCCGCCACUGCUUCCGCCAGCAGUGUCGCUGCCGCUGCGGCGGCCGUUGCCGCGUCUAAAACGGCCGCGUUCUCGCGUCCUGUCGCCCCCGCUGUUAUUGCCGCCGCUGGUGCCUCCGCCGCCGCCAUCACGAUGGCGGUUGCCGCUGCCACUGCUGCCGGCGCCAGUACUGCGUGGCUGCUCAAACGCAUUGCUGCGGUAGAGGCCUACGGACACGUCCGCCAGCUUAACGGGACACUCACGGACAUAGUGCCCAGGCUGUCCACAGUAGCGGCAGGUGUCGUUGGCCCCCGCGGCGCCCGAGGCGCCGGCAGUACCGCGGACUCCACGGGCGGUGCGACCAGGGCCAACAGCUCCAACCAGGCCGGACUUGACUGCUUGAGCCUUCAGGUUGUUCUCCUUCUCCCGCAGCAUGAACACGAGCUGCGGGGUAGUCAAGUUGGGCAAAUACAUCGCGAACUCGACUGUAAUAGCGUACUGUGGAGGCAGACCGUGGAGAAUUGCAUGACGCAUAGCAGCCUCGUCCCACUGGCCGCCCGCCGAGAUAAUGUCGCUGCGGAGCUGCUCCGCCCGCUGAAUGAAGUCAGCGGUCGUCUCGUCGUCGCCCAUGCGCAGUUGCUUCUGCGGCUCCAGCAGGCUUAGCCGGGCCUGAGAGGCAGAACGGAACUGCAGCUGUAAGAGCUGCAUGGCGGCGAGGGUCGUCUGACAGUUCCUGAGCAACUGCUUGACUGGCAGUUCGCAGGAUAGACGCAGGUAGCCAAGCGCCUGGGCAUCUUCCUCCAGAGCGUCUUGCGCAUUGCGUCCCGGUGGCGACGGGUUGGUAAUAUAGAUCCGCAGCUUGGAUGUAGCAAGGAAAUCACUGAAGUCUCCUAGCCACUGUGAGUAGUUAGACCCGUCCGCUAAGAGGACGGUCUUACACCCUUUUCCCAUGUCGGUUGCCUAGCGAGCCUCCCUGCUCAAGCUAAAAGCAACUACAGAUAUUAACCGCCGGGAACCGUUACCCGGGGCUCAUAACCUGUUGGUGAGACGCUAUCUCACAGGGACCUAGCAGACACGACUAAGGAGACAUUAGCCGUUACACGUAUUCGGGAGAUCCGCGACCUACCACCGAAAGCCCCUUUGCCUAGGCGUAAACGUGUGAAUCUGAGGUACUGUUACCGAUAAACAACAGAGACUUAUAAAGGCUUGGAAAGCCUAUCCCAAAGGACGAGAGCUAUCAGUACGCUAGAACCUAAUAGCCGUUUUGACGGGCCUCCCGAGUCAGGUCCAAAGCUGUUACUCAGGCUAACAUGCGACCUCGGACCGGCCUCAGCUGUUACUCACGAUAGUCUGACAAGUUACCCAAACAGGCCACAGGGUGACACGGCAACCCUUCGCAUCAACACGCCCCCUCGUGUCGCACUAGGGGCCUUACUACAAACUGCUAGUACUGACUAGCUAGAUCGGCCGGCAAGUCCACGGUCCAGGCCGACUGCUCAACACUCAGCAGAUACAAACGCAGCUUGCCAGCCUUCAGCCUGAUGGCUAUGCGGUCUGGCGCUGCUGCACAAACACACACGGGGAAAACAGUGCCGUACAGCACCAUACGCACUGCCUACGGCGCCCCUUCGGGCAUUGACCUGCCCAUUCGGGCGCCUGCUCACGCCCCCUCAGCACCCCCUUAAAGCCUAGCUCAAGACAAUUCCUCAAAGCCCUCAGCACUCCUCCUCUGGCGAUCUAAGUGACGCCCAGCGCUGUGCGGCAGCGCACGAACUUGACCUCGCCCAGUGCCUUGGUUAGGAUGUCAGCCACCAUGUCGUCGGUGGUGCAAUAGCUGAGCUUCACCUCACCACGCGCGACCCUCUCGCGCACGAUGUGAUGGUGCACGUCGAUGUGCUUGGAGCGCACCGACGUGAUNN